AAAAGAACAUGGAUGUUAAAAACAAGUGUGGUGUGCCUUUCCUUUACAGCUACUCGGCUAAAUUGGGACUCCUUGUGUGUUCUGGUCAGACAACUCAAGUUCCUCAAAAUUCCGAGGAUUGUAAACUGAUUGUUGAAAUAUCAGUGCAAUCGACCAGCAGAUACCAGACAUCACGUGGACAGACAACCUUCUCCAUACCACAUACCUCCUCCAUUUUGGACAACCGACGUCACGCACCACCUGCUCCGUACUACACUCAUUGUACGCCAGACAUUUUGAACAAGUGAGAUCACAGACCACGUGCUCCAUACCAUGUGAGUAAUUGCGC
Phycodurus eques (leafy seadragon) is the source of this 328-nucleotide long non-coding RNA. RefSeq lists it as uncharacterized. The record is from RefSeq and is a predicted model, not a curated record. The transcript is spliced from 3 exons. NCBI's taxonomy places the organism in Eukaryota, Metazoa, Chordata, Actinopteri, Syngnathiformes, Syngnathidae.